RNAcentral lists this ribosomal RNA (292 nucleotides) under uncultured bacterium. Its description in RNAcentral is "partial 16S ribosomal RNA". It matches the Rfam family "Bacterial small subunit ribosomal RNA", at positions 44 to 334 of the family's 1533-position model. The record is from RNAcentral.
GUGCCUAACACAUGCAAGUCGAACGAGAAAGUGGAGCAAUCCAUGAGUAAAGUGGCGACCGGGUGAGUAACACGUGACCAAUCUACCUUCGAGUGGGGGAUAACUCCGGGAAACCGGGGCUAAUACCGCAUAACAUCUUUGGAUCGGAAGAACUGAAGAUCAAAGGAGCAAUUCGCUUGAAGAGGAGGUCGCGGCUGAUUAGCUAGUUGGCGGGGUAAUGGCCCACCAAGGCGAAGAUCGGUAGCCGGCCUGAGAGGGCGCACGGCCACACUGGAACUGAAACACGGUCCAG